AUUGAACGCUGGCGGCAGGCCUAACGCAUGCAAGUCGAACGGUAGCACAGAGAGCUUGCUCUCGGGUGACGAGUGGCGGACGGGUGAGUAAUGUCUGGGAAACUGCCCGAUGGCGGGGGAUAACUACUGGAAACGGUAGCUAAUACCGCAUAACGUCGCAAGACCAAAGUGGGGGACCUUCGGGCCUCACACCAUCGGAUGUGCCCAGAUGGGAUUAGGAAGUAGGUGGGGUAAUGGCUCACCUAGGCGACGAUCCCUAGCUGGUCUGAGAGGAUGACCAGACACACUGGAACUGAGACACGGUCCAGACUCCUACGGGAAGCAGCAGUGGGGAAUAUUGCACAAUGGGCGCAAGCCUGAUGCAGCCAUGCCGCGUGUAUGAAGAAGGCCUUCGGGUUGUAAAGUACUUUCAGCGGGGAGGAAGGCGGUGGAGUUAAUAACUUCACCGAUUGACGUUACCCGCAGAAGAAGCACCGGCUAACUCCGUGCCAGCCGCCGCCGUAA
This 504-nucleotide ribosomal RNA is filed under the name uncultured bacterium. RNAcentral describes it as "partial 16S ribosomal RNA". It matches the Rfam family "Bacterial small subunit ribosomal RNA", at positions 30 to 523 of the family's 1533-position model. The record is from RNAcentral.